UCUUCUAUAUUUAAAAUUAUAUAAUUAUAUAUAAUUUUAAUUAUUUGCUAUAUUAUAUAAUUGAAAUUAUAUUUUUAUAUCUAUAUUUAAUUAUAUCUUUUAUAUAUUAAUUUUAUCUCUCUUUUAACUCCAUAAAAUAUUUAGGGGCAAAAUUAUCAUUCUACUUAAAUUUUAUCAAUCCAAUACAUUAUUUUAACAUAAACAUCCAGACACUAUCAAGAAUAUUCUCCGGGGAACAAACAAGUAAUAUCCAAAUGCAAAUUUAUCAUUGUUCUAGCUUAUACCGAAACACAGCUUUUGGAUCAUGAGCGGUCUAUAUACUAAGGCUUAGUUUGGUAUUGAGAUGAAUCUAACGUUAUUAAAUAGAAUGGAGUUAAGAAAAAGCAUAUAAGGAUAUGCUUCUGCGUUCUCCGAUGGGACCGUAGAAAAUAUAUUGUAACUGACUAACCGCGGAACGCAAUAUUACGUACGGAAACAAACAUGAUAUUUUCCCAUCGUCGUUUCUCACCGCACUUAACGCAAUCUCCCUGCAAUCCCAAACAAAACCUAAGAUAACCAAAAGUAACUUAAGGAUACUCUCUCUCUCUCUCUCUCUUAUUUGAUACAUAGCUACCUACUACCCAAUAAUUUCUCUCUCUCUCUCUCUCUCUCUCUCUCUCUCUCUCCUCUCUCUCUCUCUCAAACUAGUCCUCGCACUAAUAAAAAAUUAACUAACCAUUUUCUCUCUUUAUCUCUCUAUAUAUUUGUAACCUAUAACCCCCUACC
RNAcentral lists this long non-coding RNA (765 nucleotides) under Ananas comosus (pineapple). Its description in RNAcentral is "long non-coding RNA (ACOM_LNC017013)". The record is from RNAcentral. Lineage: Eukaryota; Viridiplantae; Streptophyta; Magnoliopsida; Poales; Bromeliaceae.